GAUGAAGAACGCAGCGAAAUGCGAUAAGUAAUGUGAAUUGCAGAAUUCAGUGAAUCAUCGAAUCUUUGAACGCACAUUGCGCCCAUUAGUAUUCUAGUGGGCAUGCCUGUUCGAGCGUCAUUUCAACCCUUAAGCCCCCGUUGCUUAGCGUUGGGAACCUACAGCGAUGUAGUUCCUUAAAGUUAGUGGCGGAGUCGGUUCACACUCUAGGCGUAGUAAAUUUUAUCUCGCCUCUGUAGUUGGACCGUCCCCCGCCGUAAAACACCCCAAUUUCUAAAGGUUGACCUCGGAUCAGGUAGGAAUACCCGCUGAACUUAAGCAUAUCAAUAAGCGGAGGA
RNAcentral lists this unclassified non-coding RNA (338 nucleotides) under soil metagenome. Its description in RNAcentral is "partial contains 5.8S ribosomal RNA, internal transcribed spacer 2, and large subunit ribosomal RNA". The stretch from base 1 to 120 matches the Rfam family "5.8S ribosomal RNA", at positions 35 to 154 of the family's 154-position model. The record is from RNAcentral.